AGGAGCUUGCUCCUUGAUUUAGCGGCGGACGGGUGAGUAAUGCCUAGGAAUCUGCCUAGUGGUGGGGGAUAACGUUCCGAAAGGAACGCUAAUACCGCAUACGUCCUACGGGAGAAAGCGGGGGAUCUUCGGACCUCGCGCCAUUAGAUGAGCCUAGGUCGGAUUAGCUAGUUGGUGAGGUAAUGGCUCACCAAGGCGACGAUCCGUAACUGGUCUGAGAGGAUGAUCAGUCACACUGGAACUGAGACACGGUCCAGACUCCUACGGGAGGCAGCAGUGGGGAAUAUUGGACAAUGGGCGAAAGCCUGAUCCAGCCAUGCCGCGUGUGUGAAGAAGGUCUUCGGAUUGUAAAGCACUUUAAGUUGGGAGGAAGGGUAUUCACCUAAUACGUGAGUAUUUUGACGUUACCGACAGAAUAAGCACCGGCUAACUUCGUGCCAGCAGCCGCGGUAAUACGAAGGGUGCAAGCGUUAAUCGGAAUUACUGGGCGUAAAGCGCGCGUAGGUGGUUCGUUAAGUUGGAUGUGAAAGCCCCGGGCUCAACCUGGGAACUGCAUCCAAAACUGGCGAGCUAGAGUACGGUAGAGGGUGGUGGAAUUUCCUGUGUAGCGGUGAAAUGCGUAGAUAUAGGAAGGAACACCAGUGGCGAAGGCGACCACCUGGACUGAUACUGACACUGAGGUGCGAAAGCGU
Molecule: ribosomal RNA, 692 nt
Filed under: Pseudomonas sp. SBC-1-1
Lineage: Bacteria; Pseudomonadati; Pseudomonadota; Gammaproteobacteria; Pseudomonadales; Pseudomonadaceae
Description: bacterial SSU rRNA
Rfam family: Bacterial small subunit ribosomal RNA
Source: RNAcentral